GAAGACUAGGGGCUGAGAAUAGACUGCUAAUUUACUUCUCCCACGGUUCAACUCCGCGGAGUUUUCG
RNAcentral lists this transfer RNA (67 nucleotides) under Schizocardium brasiliense. RNAcentral's name for it is "tRNA-Ser". Lineage: Eukaryota; Metazoa; Hemichordata; Enteropneusta; Spengelidae. The record is from RNAcentral.